AGUGAACGCUGGCGGUAGGCCUAACACAUGCAAGUCGAACGGCAGCACAGUAAGAGCUUGCUCUUACGGGUGGCGAGUGGCGGACGGGUGAGGAAUACAUCGGAAUCUACUUUUUCGUGGGGGAUAACGUAGGGAAACUUACGCUAAUACCGCAUACGACCUACGGGUGAAAGCAGGGGAUCUUCGGACCUUGCGCGAUUGAAUGAGCCGAUGUCGGAUUAGCUAGUUGGCGGGGUAAAGGCCCACCAAGGCGACGAUCCGUAGCUGGUCUGAGAGGAUGAUCAGCCACACUGGAACUGAGACACGGUCCAGACUCCUACGGGAGGCAGCAGUGGGGAAUAUUGGACAAUGGGCGCAAGCCUGAUCCAGACAUACCGCGUGGGUGAAGAAGGCCUUAGGGUUGUAAAGCCCUUUUGUUGGGAAAGAAAAGCAGCAGGUUAAUACCCCGCUGUUCUGACGGUACCCAAAGAAUAAGCACCGGCUAACUUCGUG
This 492-nucleotide ribosomal RNA is filed under the name uncultured bacterium. RNAcentral describes it as "partial 16S ribosomal RNA". It matches the Rfam family "Bacterial small subunit ribosomal RNA", at positions 29 to 507 of the family's 1533-position model. The record is from RNAcentral.